GACGAACGCUGGCGGCGUGCUUAACACAUGCAAGUCGAACGGAAGGGCCCGGCUUUUGUGGGGGGCCCUAGUCGCGAACGGGGGAGUAACACGGUAGUAACCUUGCCUGUACGUUGGGAUAACUUCAGGAAACUGGGGCCAAUACCGGAUAGGAGCUUCCGCUGCCUGGUGGGGAUGCGAAAGGUUCGCCGGUUGGGGUUGGACGCGCGGCUGAUCAGCGUGUUGGUGGGGUAGUGGCUGACCAAGGCCUUGACGGGUAGCCGGCCUGAGAGGGUGACCGGGCACCAUGGGACUGAGAUACGGAGCAGACUGCUACGGGAGGCAGCAGUGGAAAAUAUUGCACAAUGGGCGGACGCCUGAUACAGAAACGCCGCGUGCGGGAUGACGGCCUGCGGGGUGUAAACCGCUUUCGCAUGUAACGAAGCGAGAGUGACGGUAAUGGGUAAAGAAGCACCGGCUAACUACGUG
Molecule: ribosomal RNA, 468 nt
Filed under: uncultured bacterium
Lineage: Bacteria
Description: partial 16S ribosomal RNA
Rfam family: Bacterial small subunit ribosomal RNA
Source: RNAcentral